Molecule: long non-coding RNA, 1141 nt
Filed under: Hordeum vulgare
Lineage: Eukaryota; Viridiplantae; Streptophyta; Magnoliopsida; Poales; Poaceae
Description: long non-coding RNA (HVUL_LNC002679)
Source: RNAcentral
GCCAGCACCAUCUGUUAUCUCAUGUCCCUGACCAAACCAUAUCCUCCAACACUUAAUUUGUGUUGGAAUGGCUUAAUCAGUACACACAAUAAAAUAGCUUAUCCGUGACUCGCAUUAUCCAUCCAUCCAUGAUCCAUACAUACGUUCUAUAGUAGAGAAGCUGAGCAAGACAGCUGGAACCGGUGGCAAGCAAGCACGGCUGUCCGUCGCAGCUUGACACCGAUGCACAACAACCACCACUACGUUACACAUUGCACGCAGCUUUUUUCCUUGCACUUUUAUUACGGUGGCCGGCCUUUUGCCAUUGAAGACAGCGCCGCACCGCAGCAGCUCCAUCAAUAAAACCCGCCCUGUCCUGUCCUGUCCUCACACUCACUCAUCACACUCCACCACCACCACCCCCAUCCAUCAGACAAGAGAGAGAGAGAGCGUCUGCAGUCUGCAGCCUGCAGCAGCCAUGGCCAAGGAGGUGAGCGAGGAGCCGGAGCACGCCGCGCCGGCGCGCAAGGACUACUCGGACCCGCCGCCGGCGCCGCUGUUCGACAUGGGGGAGCUCCGGAUGUGGUCCUUCUACCGGGCGCUCAUCGCCGAGUUCGUCGCCACGCUGCUCUUCCUCUACAUCACCGUCGCCACCGUCAUCGGCUACAAGGUGCAGUCGGCGGCCGACCCGUGCGCCGGCGUCGGGGUGCUCGGCAUCGCCUGGGCCUUCGGCGGCAUGAUCUUCGUCCUAGUCUACUGCACCGCCGGCAUCUCGGGCGGCCACAUCAACCCGGCCGUCACCUUCGGCCUCCUCCUCGCGCGCAAGGUGUCGCUGCUGCGCGCCGUCAUGUACAUCGUGGCGCAGUGCGCCGGCGGCAUCGUGGGCGCCGGCAUCGUCAAGGGCAUCAUGAAGGACGCGUACCAGGCCAACGGCGGCGGCGCCAACAUGGUCGCCUCGGGCUUCUCCCGAGGCACCGCGCUGGGGGCAGAGAUCGUCGGCACCUUCGUCCUCGUCUACACCGUCUUCUCCGCCACCGACCCCAAGCGCAGCGCCCGCGACUCCCACGUCCCCGUGCUGGCGCCGCUCCCCAUCGGCUUCGCCGUCUUCAUGGUGCACCUCGCCACCAUCCCCAUCACCGGCACCGGCAUCAACCCCGCCAGG